GAUGAACGCUGGCGGCGUGCCUAAUACAUGCAAGUCGAGCGAACGGACGAGAAGCUUGCUUCUCUGAUGUUAGCGGCGGACGGGUGAGUAACACGUGGUUAACCUACCUAUAAGACUGGGAUAACUUCGGGAAACCGUAGUUAAUACCGGAUAAUAUUUUGAACCGCAUGGUUCAAAAGUGAAAGACGGUCUUGCUGUCACUUAUAGAUGGAUCCGCGCUGCAUUAGCUAGUUGGUAAGGUAACGGCUUACCAAGGCAACGAUGCAUAGCCGACCUGAGAGGGUGAUCGGCCACACUGGAACUGAGACACGGUCCAGACUCCUACGGGAGGCAGCAGUAGGGAAUCUUCCGCAAUGGGCGAAAGCCUGACGGAGCAACGCCGCGUGAGUGAUGAAGGUCUUCGGAUCGUAAAACUCUGUUAUUAGGGAAGAACAUAUGUGUAAGUAACUGUGCACAUCUUGACGGUACCUAAUCAGAAAGCCACGGCUAACUACGUG
RNAcentral lists this ribosomal RNA (497 nucleotides) under uncultured bacterium. RNAcentral's name for it is "partial 16S ribosomal RNA". It matches the Rfam family "Bacterial small subunit ribosomal RNA", at positions 28 to 507 of the family's 1533-position model. The record is from RNAcentral.